GCUCCUGUAGCUCAGUAGGUAGAGCGGUGGUCUUAUGAGCCACAGGUCGAGGGUUCGAACCCCCCCUGGAGCA
Molecule: non-coding RNA, 73 nt
Organism: Aphanomyces invadans
Lineage: Eukaryota; Oomycota; Saprolegniomycetes; Saprolegniales; Verrucalvaceae
Source: Rfam